CCUCGAUUUAACUUCAACUCAAUAAACACCUAGACAGCUGUCCUGACGCGUGUCUCAUUCGAUACCCCCAUAUGCUAUGCCUAAAGCCAGAAACCAAGUAGCAAUGAACAGAGCUCCCAAACGGAGAGAGGACUACCCUCCUACAGAAAUCCAAUAUGCGACUCUUCGGGGUCCGAGUGAGUCACGCGGACUAUGGACAGGCACCAUGGCACACACACCACAGAAC
Pelobates cultripes (western spadefoot toad) is the source of this 226-nucleotide non-coding RNA. Lineage: Eukaryota; Metazoa; Chordata; Amphibia; Anura; Pelobatidae. The record is from the annotation of a GenBank genome assembly.